This 316-nucleotide long non-coding RNA is filed under the name Mytilus galloprovincialis (Mediterranean mussel). Lineage: Eukaryota; Metazoa; Mollusca; Bivalvia; Mytilida; Mytilidae. The record is from RNAcentral.
UAUAAACAACUAGAGGCUCUUAAGAGCCUGUGUCGCUCACCUUGGUCUAUAUGAAUACCAAACAAAGAACACAGAUCGUCAGAUGGAUUCAUGACAAAAUUGUGUUUUUGUGAUGGUGAUGUGUUUGGAGAUCUUGCUUUACUGAACAAUCUUGUUACUUACAAUUUUGUCUAUCUAUAAUGCACUUGGCCCUUUAGUUCCAGAGGAAAAUAUUUUGUAAAAACUAAUGAAAAUUGUUAAAAAUUGACUAUAAAGGGCAAUAACUCCUUAAGAUGUCAACUGAACAUUUUGAUCAUGUUUGACUUCUUUGUAGAUC